UACGUAGGGGGCAAGCGUUGUCCGGAUUCAUUGGGCGUAAAGAGCGUGUAGGCGGCCAGGUAGGUCGGUUGUGAAAACUGGAGGCUCAACCUUCAGACGUCGACCGAAACCAUCUGGCUAGAGUCCGGGAGAGGAGACUGGAAUUCCUGGUGUAGCGGUGAAAUGCGCAGAUAUCAGGAGGAACACCGAUGGCGAAGGCAGGUCUCUGGGCCACUACUGACGCUGAGAAGCGAAAGCAUGGGGAGCGAACAGG
This 253-nucleotide ribosomal RNA is filed under the name uncultured bacterium. RNAcentral's name for it is "partial 16S ribosomal RNA". It matches the Rfam family "Bacterial small subunit ribosomal RNA", at positions 524 to 776 of the family's 1533-position model. The record is from RNAcentral.